Molecule: transfer RNA, 77 nt
Filed under: Oscillospiraceae bacterium
Lineage: Bacteria; Bacillati; Bacillota; Clostridia; Eubacteriales; Oscillospiraceae
Also listed under: 1 other name
Description: tRNA-Asn
Rfam family: tRNA
About the family: Transfer RNA (tRNA) molecules are approximately 80 nucleotides in length.
Source: RNAcentral
UGGCGGGUAGCCCAGUUGGUUAGAGCGCCUGACUGUUAAUCAGGAUGUCGCGGGUUCAAGUCCCGCCCUGCCAGCCA